GGGACGCGGGGCCGGCCGCAGAGCUCCUCGGGGACGCGGGGCCGGCCGCAGAGCUCUUCGGGGAUGCGGGGCCGCGCUGCUCUCAGGGUGGUCCCGUCCCGUGGCGGGGAAGGCGCCGCAGGUGCGCGAACCUGAGGAAGCCCGAGGGGCCAGAAGCCCGUCGGACUUGCCUCGGCUUUAAUUCUGCCCGCGCCGUGGAGGGAACUGCGCCCCCAUCAUCAGGUGCAAACACCCUGACUGCAGAUGACCAUGAAACUGAGAAAACACAGCUGGACCCAGCAGAGCAUGUGAGCCUUGCCUCUGAGGACACCAACCUUGGCCAGCAGCUGCCGGGAGAGGAGGGCUCAGCCACCAUCCUGGACGUGAUGGGGAAGACAGAGUCAGUCAGCAAAAGGGAGGAGCCAGAGGGCACGGAGCCCCUGCCUGCAGGAGAGGAGGAAAGCUCUGAGCUGCCCUCUGUGUGGCGAGAGGAGAGCAAGGGGCCUUUGCUGCCAGCACCAGGAGAAGAUGCUGGGGCACCAUCACCAGGACCAGCAGAGGACAGUGGGCUGGUAGAGGGCAGUGACAGCUCUGUAGUGGAAAUUGUCGAGAAAGUACAUACUACUGAAGAGGACCACCUCAUUGAGGAGGCAUCUGAUGAAGAAGGGAUUUUCUAUUUUUAUGCUAUGGUGAGACGGGAGAACAGGUGGAAACUGAGCUGCUCAGUGAGACAGUAA
RNAcentral lists this long non-coding RNA (716 nucleotides) under Cyanistes caeruleus (blue tit). RNAcentral's name for it is "lncRNA (ENSCCEG00000008621.1)". The record is from RNAcentral. Lineage: Eukaryota; Metazoa; Chordata; Aves; Passeriformes; Paridae.